Molecule: ribosomal RNA, 865 nt
Filed under: uncultured Bacillota bacterium
Lineage: Bacteria; Bacillati; Bacillota
Description: bacterial SSU rRNA
Rfam family: Bacterial small subunit ribosomal RNA
Source: RNAcentral
UGGAUCCAGACUUUGAUCCUGGCUCAGGAUUAACGCUGGCGGCAUGCCUAAGUCAUGCAAGUCGAACGGAGUGCCCCCACUGAAACUUGAAUGAAGUCUGAGAGCUUGCUCAAAGAUGGAAUGACGGUGGAUGUGGAUUCUGCACUCAGUGGCGAACGGGUGAGUAACACGUGGGUUACCUGCCUCUAAGUUGGGGACAACAGUUGGAAACGACUGCUAAUACCGAAUGUGAUAGUAAUAUUAAAGGAGCCUUUAAAGCUUCGCUUAGAGAUGGGCCUGCGGCGUAUUAGCUAGUUGGUGGGGUAAUGGCCUACCAAGGCAACGAUGCGUAGCCGGACUGAGGGGUUGAUCGGCCACAUUGGGACUGAGACACGGCCCAGACUCCUACGGGAGACAGCAGUUAGGAAUAUUCGGCAAUGGGGGAAACCCUGACCGAGCAAUGCCGCGUGUGAGAUGAAGGUCCUCUGGAUUGUAAAUCACUUUUAUUUGGGAAGAAUUGUAAGUAGAGGAAAUGAUACUUACUUGACGGUACCUUUUGAAUAAGCCCCGGCUAACUACGUGCCAGCAGCCGCGGUAAUACGUAGGGGGCGAGCGUUAUCCGGAUUUAUUGGGCGUAAAGCGUGCGUAGGCGGUUUAUUAAGUCCAGAAUUAAAGUCCGAGGCUUAACCUCGGUUCGUUCUGGAUACUGGUAGACUAGAGUAUGGUAGAGGCAAACGGAAUUCCUAGUGUAGCGGUGAAAUGCGUAGAUAUUAGGAGGAACACCAGUGGCGAAGGCGGUUUGCUGGGCCAUCACUGACGCUGAGGUACGAAAGCGUGGGUAGCAAAUAGGAUUAGAUACCCUAGUAGUCCACGCUGUAAACGAUGA